CCCUGCGAGCCAAAUCAUGGAGGACGCUGAAGGAUUCGACCAUAGCAAAGAACUGUAUAGUGACGGUAGAAGGGGAGAAUCAUUUAGAAAUCAGCAAAGAUGGCCCGGCGCGGUGGCUGACGCCUGUAAUCCCAGCACUUUGGGAGGCUGAGUCAGGUGGAUCACGAGGUCAGGAGAUGGAGACCAUCCUGGCUAACAUGGUGAAAUCCCGUCUCUACCGAAAAUACAAAAAAAUUAGCUGGGCGUGGUGGCACGCGUCUGUAGCCCCAGCUACUCGGGAGGCUCAGGCAGGAGAAUGGCGUGAACCCGGGAGGCGGAGCUUGCAGUGAGCCGAGAUCGCGCCACUGCUCCCCAGCCUGGGCGACAGAGCGAGACUCCAUCCAAAAAAAAAAAAAAAAAAGAAAGAAAGAAAGGAAAAAAAAUUAAGAAACAAAUCAGCAAAGAUCUAGUGAAUAACUUUUGGGGGACGUUCAGGUAAACAACUUAGGUGAAAAAGACGAUACACCAGUCCAUUUAUGUGACAAAUGUGAAUUAUCAAUUAAAAUCUAUGGACGGAUGAUUACAUGUAAGCAUGUUUUUUGCUAGGUCUGUGCUAUUUUACAUGGAAAAGGAAGAGAUAAGAUGUGUCCAGGCUGUAGCAAUCCUGUGAAGCAAAUUGAGAAACAUACACAAGGUUUUAUCUUCAUGUGUAGCACACUUCAAGGGUUCAAGAGGGACCUAGAGGCUCAUAUCAACUACUGUCAUAUGAGAGUGUAAAACCCUGUUGCUUGUGCCUGACUAGAAAAUGUUCAUCCUCCAUGAUACCCCAUCACGAAUUGAAAUCCCUAACCAUUUUAUGAUGCGGCCAGACAAGCACCAUAUGAGCCAAUAUUCCCCCAAAGCAGCACAUUAUGAUACCUACUUUCUUUGCAGCAUUUGCCACAUGAGCUACAUCAUUAGCCCCAAGGAUAUUCAUGCUCCUGCAGCAGAAUUGUUCACGGCUUUACCUCCAUCUCCUUCAGUAAGUCAAGGAACCUUUGUAUUUCAACAAGAAAACAUGGCAAUUUCAUAACUGUUCCUAUUCAAAAGCACUCCAAUUCAGGUGCUUGAGAACCACACCUACUUCCUCCACAUUUGCUCACCAUCAUCCUGAAUAUCAAGGUCAACGAGUAGUAUUGAGUUCUUAUAAUACUCUACCUCCAUAGCUACAUUCUGUACCAUAGCACCUCUUCUGCUACCAACAAGCCAUGCAAUGCCACAUCUUCCUUAGGCUGCAGGUACUCCUCACUUGGUUCAUAGCUAAGCUUCAAGUCCAGCAAUGACCUCUACUCUACCACUCUCUUCACGGACAUAGUAUUGUCCAGAUGCCACCUCAUAUAAGAUAUCUUCUUCCAGGACCUGCCUCACAACAACAUGUAAAAACACACCCUUCUCACCAUUAUAAUCAUAACUCUUUACCCAAGUUCACUGAAUAUCAAGGAACUCCGAGUCCUCCAUUUAUACAACCAGGGGAAAUGAUUCAUGACAUGUGGCCUGUACCUGGACGGCCACCCCUUCCUCUAUGAAUGCAGAAUCUACCUUCUCAAACCCUACUUCUUGGGACACAUCAUCCGGGUCAGAC
This 1600-nucleotide long non-coding RNA is filed under the name Homo sapiens (human). Its description in RNAcentral is "non-protein coding lnc-CT47A1-2:1". The record is from RNAcentral. Lineage: Eukaryota; Metazoa; Chordata; Mammalia; Primates; Hominidae.